This 260-nucleotide ribosomal RNA is filed under the name uncultured bacterium. Its description in RNAcentral is "partial 16S ribosomal RNA". It matches the Rfam family "Bacterial small subunit ribosomal RNA", at positions 92 to 353 of the family's 1533-position model. The record is from RNAcentral.
CGAGUGGCGGACGGGUGAGUAAUGUCUGGGAAACCGCCUGAUGGAGGGGGAUAACUACUGGAAACGGUAGCUAAUACCGCAUAACGUCGCAAGACCAAAGAGGGGGACCUUCGGGCCUCUUGCCAUCGGAUGUGCCCAGAUGGGAUUAGCUAGUAGGUGGGGUAACGGCUCACCUAGGCGACGAUCCCUAGCUGGUCUGAGAGGAUGACCAGCCACACUGGAACUGAGACACGGUCCAGACUCCUACGGGAGGCAGCAUG